AUUGAACGCUGGCGGCAUGCUUUACACAUGCAAGUCGAACGGUAACAGGCCGCAAGGUGCUGACGAGUGGCGAACGGGUGAGUAAUGCAUCGGAACGUGCCCAGUCGUGGGGGAUAACUACUCGAAAGAGUAGCUAAUACCGCAUACGAUCUAUGGAUGAAAGCGGGGGACCGUAAGGCCUCGCGCGAUUGGAGCGGCCGAUGUCAGAUUAGGUAGUUGGUGGGGUAAAGGCUCACCAAGCCAACGAUCUGUAGCUGGUCUGAGAGGACGACCAGCCACACUGGGACUGAGACACGGCCCAGACUCCUACGGGAGGCAGCAGUGGGGAAUUUUGGACAAUGGGCGCAAGCCUGAUCCAGCAAUGCCGCGUGCAGGAAGAAGGCCUUCGGGUUGUAAACUGCUUUUGUACGGAAAGAAACGGCUCUGGUUAAUACCCGGGGCUAAUGACGGUACCGUAAGAAUAAGCACCGGCUAACUACGUG
Molecule: ribosomal RNA, 482 nt
Filed under: uncultured bacterium
Lineage: Bacteria
Description: partial 16S ribosomal RNA
Rfam family: Bacterial small subunit ribosomal RNA
Source: RNAcentral